UACGGAGGGUGCAAGCGUUAUCCGGAUUCACUGGGUUUAAAGGGUGCGUAGGUGGGCUGGUAAGUCAGUGGUGAAAUCCCCGGGCUUAACUCGGAAACUGCCAUUGAUACUAUCUUUCUUGAAUACCGUGGAGGUCAGCGGAAUAUGUCAUGUAGCGGUGAAAUGCUUAGAUAUGACAUAGAACACCAAUUGCGAAGGCAGCUGGCUACACGAAUAUUGACACUGAGGCACGAAAGCGUGGGGAUCAAACAGG
Molecule: ribosomal RNA, 253 nt
Filed under: uncultured bacterium
Lineage: Bacteria
Description: partial 16S ribosomal RNA
Rfam family: Bacterial small subunit ribosomal RNA
Source: RNAcentral